Molecule: long non-coding RNA, 1395 nt
Organism: Panicum virgatum (switchgrass)
Lineage: Eukaryota; Viridiplantae; Streptophyta; Magnoliopsida; Poales; Poaceae
Exons: 2
Source: RefSeq, a predicted model, not a curated record
AACCGUCAGCGAAACAAAUUAACUAUCCACCGCCGCGGACGCUAGCGCUCGAGCUCUCGCGCCUCGCCGCCGUCCUCCCUCUGCGCCGGCGACCUCGCGCCUCGCCGCCGUCCUCCCUCUCCCCCUCCCGCACCCGGCGGAGACCUCCCUCCCGCACCCGCGGCGAGUUCGUGCCGCGCCGGCCGCCUCUCCCCCGCGCCGCCACGCCCACCUCGCCCCGUGCCGCGCCGGCCGUCGUGCCCGCCUGCCUCGCCGGCGCCGUGCCCGGUGCGCCAUCCCCGCCGUGCCAGGGGAUUGACAAGACCGCUAGAGAGAGGGAGACCGCAGUGCGGAGAUGGGUUGAGGAAGAUGGAGGGAGAAAGCGGGCAGCUUGGUGGAUCUCGUCACCGCGCAUCCGCCGCUGCUCACUUGGGCCGCUCCUCCUGAGAGGCUCAGCGCCUCCACCAGAUGUCGAGGUCCAAGAGGUUUCAGCGGUGGCGGGAGGAAGAGGAGGAAUUCGAUGAAGAUGAUGUUGUCUUCCUUGGUGCUAUGCUUGCGGCAUUGAAGAGGAAGAAGAACAAGAAAAAGUUUCGCGGAUCUUUACCGGGCCGCCACAACGUGCCACGAGAUAUCCUAGGCGGUCACGAGAAGAUUUACUGGGAUUACUUCGCUGACAAGCCUAUUUAUAACGAAAAUCAUUUCGGAAGGUGCCUUGCUGACGGGAUUACCAUGGGGUAUUACCUUGCUGACGGGAUAUACCCCGCAUGGGCAUCACUUGUGAAAGCUUUUCGCAACCCGCAAGGUAACAAGAAGGUGCAUUUCACAACAGUGCAAGAAUUUUACAGGAAGGACAUAGAACGAGCCUUCCGGGGUACUACAAUCAUGAUUCGCCAUGAUUCGAGGCCCUGCUAGAUGGUGGAGCAAAGGAGAUCUCUGGUACAUAAUGAUGUGUUGUGUUAUCUUACACAACAUGAUAAUAGAGGAUGAGCGAGAAGAGGAUGAGAACUUUAACUACUACCAGGAGCCGGUACUACAUAAUGAUGUCUGAUGCAGCCUGCUGAAAUAUUCUGCAUUAUAGCUCUGAUUGAACUGAUCUACAGGUUGCCACACAACAAGCAGAAAGCAGUAGUACAACACCAAAGGAAGAUCACUAGCAGUUCAACAUAGCUUCAACAGUAGUACAAUUUCAGCAUACUGCACUCCAAAUGCCUUGCAUUAUAGCACUGUAAAUAUUGCUGAACUAUACAAGGUGCUCAACCUUGCUGACAAUUGAGCUUGUUGUGUUUUUUGUCUUGAAUGUAAAAUACCCAUCUCUUGUACCUUCUAUUAUUUUUCUGAACAUAAAGAAACACAUUUGUAUUCCAGCUUUGUCAAAAUCCUGAACUUUUCUGGAUGAUAUUCAGACAAAUGCUGUGU